Molecule: ribosomal RNA, 644 nt
Filed under: Cronobacter sakazakii
Lineage: Bacteria; Pseudomonadati; Pseudomonadota; Gammaproteobacteria; Enterobacterales; Enterobacteriaceae
Description: partial 23S ribosomal RNA
Rfam family: Bacterial large subunit ribosomal RNA
Source: RNAcentral
GGUUAAGCGAACAAGCGUACACGGUGGAUGCCCUGGCAGUCAGAGGCGAUGAAGGACGUGCUAAUCUGCGAAAAGCGCCGGUAAGGUGAUAUGAACCGUUAUAACCGGCGAUGUCCGAAUGGGGAAACCCGGUGCACUUCGGUGCAUCAUCGUUAGCUGAAUACAUAGGCUAACGAGGCGAACCGGGGGAACUGAAACAUCUAAGUACCCCGAGGAAAAGAAAUCAACCGAGAUUCCCCCAGUAGCGGCGAGCGAACGGGGAACAGCCCAGAGCCUGAAUCAGUUUGUGUGUCAGUGGAACGGUCUGGAAAGGCCGGCGAUACAGGGUGACAGCCCCGUACACGAAGGCACACAGGCUGUGAGCUCGAUGAGUAGGGCGGGACACGUGAUAUCCUGUCUGAAGAUGGGGGGACCAUCCUCCAAGGCUAAAUACUCCUGACUGACCGAUAGUGAACCAGUACCGUGAGGGAAAGGCGAAAAGAACCCCGGCGAGGGGAGUGAAACAGAACCUGAAACCGUGUACGUACAAGCAGUGGGAGCCUUCGUAAGAGGGUGACUGCGUACCUUUUGUAUAAUGGGUCAGCGACUUAUAUUCUGUAGCAAGGUUAACCGUAUAGGGGAGCCGAAGGGAAACCGAGUCUUAA